RNAcentral lists this ribosomal RNA (440 nucleotides) under Streptomyces sp. D-0-25-7. Its description in RNAcentral is "bacterial SSU rRNA". It matches the Rfam family "Bacterial small subunit ribosomal RNA", at positions 8 to 451 of the family's 1533-position model. Lineage: Bacteria; Bacillati; Actinomycetota; Actinomycetes; Kitasatosporales; Streptomycetaceae. The record is from RNAcentral.
AGAGUUUGAUCAUGGCUCAGGACGAACGCUGGCGGCGUGCUUAACACAUGCAAGUCGAACGAUGAAGCCCUUCGGGGUGGAUUAGUGGCGAACGGGUGAGUAACACGUGGGCAAUCUGCCCUGCACUCUGGGACAAGCCCUGGAAACGGGGUCUAAUACCGGAUACUGAUCGCCUUGGGCAUCCUUGGUGAUCGAAAGCUCCGGCGGUGCAGGAUGAGCCCGCGGCCUAUCAGCUUGUUGGUGAGGUAAUGGCUCACCAAGGCGACGACGGGUAGCCGGCCUGAGAGGGCGACCGGCCACACUGGGACUGAGACACGGCCCAGACUCCUACGGGAGGCAGCAGUGGGGAAUAUUGCACAAUGGGCGAAAGCCUGAUGCAGCGACGCCGCGUGAGGGAUGACGGCCUUCGGGUUGUAAACCUCUUUCAGCAGGGAAGAAGC